This 207-nucleotide long non-coding RNA is filed under the name Ananas comosus (pineapple). Its description in RNAcentral is "long non-coding RNA (ACOM_LNC041205)". Lineage: Eukaryota; Viridiplantae; Streptophyta; Magnoliopsida; Poales; Bromeliaceae. The record is from RNAcentral.
UCUAAUUUGUCCAAUAAGAUUCACACCGACAAACCAUCCCUAGCACAAGUGGCAAAAGACUUGGUGAUUUGUAUCCGAAGUCCCAAGUUCGAAUCCUAGUUGAUUCAUAUUUCUAUAGCUAAGUUUAUUUCUAAAAUUAAAUAAACGAAGUGGGUAGCAUGCUAUCUAUCCCACAGUAUAGUUACUGAAAUAGAGAUAGAAAAGGUC